AGAGUUUGAUCAUGGCUCAGGAUGAACACUGGCGGAGUGCCUAACACAUGCAAGUCGAGCGGCAGCGCGAGUAGUUUACUACUUGGCGGCGAGCGGCGGACGGCUGAGUAACGCGUGGGAACAUGCCCCAAAGUGAGGAAUAACUGCCCGAAAGGGUAGCUAAUGCCGCAUACGAUCUUCGGAUUAAAGGAUUUAUCCGCUUUGGGAGUGGCCUGCGUACGAUUAGAUAGUUGGUGAGGUAAUGGCUCACCAAGUCUACGAUCGUUAACUGGUUUGAGAGGAUGAUCAGUCAGACUGGAACUGAGACACGGUCCAGACUCCUACGGGAGGCAGCAGUGAGGAAUCUUCCACAAUGGACGAAAGUCUGAUGGAGCAACUCCGCGUGCAGGAUGAAGGCCUUCGGGUCGUAAACUGCUUUUAUGAGUGAAGAAUAUGACGGUAACUCAUGAAUAAGGGUCGGCUAACUACGUG
RNAcentral lists this ribosomal RNA (471 nucleotides) under uncultured bacterium. RNAcentral's name for it is "bacterial SSU rRNA". It matches the Rfam family "Bacterial small subunit ribosomal RNA", at positions 8 to 507 of the family's 1533-position model. The record is from RNAcentral.